Molecule: long non-coding RNA, 95 nt
Organism: Melanotaenia boesemani (Boeseman's rainbowfish)
Lineage: Eukaryota; Metazoa; Chordata; Actinopteri; Atheriniformes; Melanotaeniidae
Exons: 3
Source: RefSeq, a predicted model, not a curated record
UCAGAUUCAAAUUGAAUGAUUCAAAUUCAAAUAUAAAGAAUUCAGAUUCGCUCCCUAGUGGCACAAAGUUUAUCCCAUAUCAGGGCUAUUAUUUU